This 270-nucleotide ribosomal RNA is filed under the name Bacillus sp. CSeA0_52. RNAcentral describes it as "partial 16S ribosomal RNA". It matches the Rfam family "Bacterial small subunit ribosomal RNA", at positions 148 to 411 of the family's 1533-position model. Lineage: Bacteria; Bacillati; Bacillota; Bacilli; Caryophanales; Bacillaceae. The record is from RNAcentral.
UUCGGGAAACCGGAGCUAAUACCGGAUAGGUUCUUCCCUCACAUGAGGGAAGAUGGAAAGACGGUUUCGGCUGUCACUUACAGAUGGGCCCGCGGCGCAUUAGCUAGUUGGUGAGGUAACGGCUCACCAAGGCGACGAUGCGUAGCCGACCUGAGAGGGUGAUCGGCCACACUGGGACUGAGACACGGCCCAGACUCCUACGGGAGGCAGCAGUAGGGAAUCUUCCGCAAUGGACGAAAGUCUGACGGAGCAACGCCGCGUGAGCGAAGA